AUUGAACGCUAACGGCAUGCUUAACACAUGCAAGUCGAACGGCAGCACAGUCGUAGCAAUACGAUGGGUGGCGAGUGGCGGACGGGUGAGUAAUAUAUAGGAAUCUGCCUUGUAGUGGGGGAUAACCCGGGGAAACUCGGGAUAAUACCGCAUAAUCAUUACGAAGCAAAGUGGGGGAUCGUAAGAACCCAAGCUCUAAGAUGAGACUAUAUUGGAUUAGCUAGUGGGUGGGGUAAAGGCCUACCAAGGCGAAGAUCCGUAGCUGGUCUGAGAGGAUGAUCCGCCACACGGGGACUGAGACACGGCCCAGACUCCAACGGGAGGCAGCAGUGGGGAAGAUUGGGCAAUGGGCGGAAGCCUGAUCCAGCCAUGCCGCGUGUGUGAAGAAGGCCUUUUGGUUGUAAAGCGCUUUAAGCGAGGAGGAGGCUACUAGUACUAAUACUACUGGAUAGUGGACGUUACUCGCAGAAUAAGCACCGGCUAACUCGGUGCCAGCAGCCGCUGUAA
RNAcentral lists this ribosomal RNA (507 nucleotides) under uncultured bacterium. RNAcentral describes it as "partial 16S ribosomal RNA". It matches the Rfam family "Bacterial small subunit ribosomal RNA", at positions 30 to 523 of the family's 1533-position model. The record is from RNAcentral.